RNAcentral lists this long non-coding RNA (1086 nucleotides) under Felis catus (domestic cat). RNAcentral's name for it is "lncRNA (ENSFCAG00000047720.1)". The record is from RNAcentral. Lineage: Eukaryota; Metazoa; Chordata; Mammalia; Carnivora; Felidae.
CUUUUCUCCCCACAAAUUCGAAUAUUACCCCAAAGGUAUGAAAAGUUAUUCCACCAGCAAAGAAACUCGAAGGAAUUUGCUUGGGAUGUUGAGGGUCUUUUGCAAAAUAAGAGUCCCUAGAGAUGUUUUGAGCCUUGCUGGUGUUCUCUGGGGACAGUGCUCCAGGAAUUCUAAACCAGAAUUUAGAGAUGGAAGAAGUCACAAUGAACUUAUAAUGCCACCUUCACCCUCAUGGGUGGUGUCACUUCCCCAAGGGCAUGCCACAUGUUCCCUCAAUUGUGUCUUGACUUGCUCAGAGAAGAACCUUUUGUUUUCAUGCCACGCUCAAGUCAGUGGGAACAAAUUCCUCUUUACUGUGGAAUCUGGAAAGGUUCCUCUUGACGGGAUGAUCAGACAUUUGGAGAGUGCACUGAGUAGAAUAUGGCCUCACUAUUCAAUUCUUUCUUUCCCCCUCAAAUGCCCACCUAUGGUGACGGAGGUACUUUUGAGCAAAAGAAGGUCGCCGAUAGGAGUUACUCUCUCCCAGCUUGAUGGUGAUUCGUGUCCUGCUACUCACGUGGAAAGCUUGCUGAGAGAGAACCAUUUGUUUGACAAGACUUCAGCGCUGUCAUUUCUAAAAGCAAGAUCUACUGAAGAUACUAGAGUGUGGAGACAGAGGGAAGAAGUCCAUGGAGAGAAAUGUGGGCAAAUCAAGUGGUUGACUUGCCUGCAAUGGGAUUCUCCAAGUCAGGAGGCUGGGUUACAGUCAGGUCUGGGGCAGCUUCUGGUGGUGCCCAAAGGGGUGGAAGGAUCUUGGAGGGAUAGCCAAGGAUUGCACCUGGUGACAUGUUCUCAGCCUGACAUUUACAACCUGUCCAGAAGUUCCUUCCAUGGCUCCAAGCACAGCAUGAAAGUAGCAAAGAGGAGGGCUGGAAGGGACCACAAGGACAUACCAGUGGACAUCUCUGCCAUGAGAGAGUGGACAUCCUGCUGAGGCCCAUGGGUGCCUCUUCAAGCUGUUGACCUUGUGUAAGUUUCUGAAAAGUCAGCCCUGCCCCUGAGUGGGGGGUUGGGAGAGAAAAAUAAAACUGAAGUCCCAACACCCCA